GGGGUUGUGGCUCAGUGGUAGAGUGCUUGCCUAGCAUGCAUGAGGCACUGGGUUUGAUUCUCAACACCA
This 69-nucleotide transfer RNA is filed under the name Marmota monax (woodchuck). It matches the Rfam family "tRNA". From Rfam's summary of the family: Transfer RNA (tRNA) molecules are approximately 80 nucleotides in length. Their secondary structure includes four short double-helical elements and three loops (D, anti-codon, and T loops). The record is from Rfam by way of RNAcentral. Lineage: Eukaryota; Metazoa; Chordata; Mammalia; Rodentia; Sciuridae.